Molecule: long non-coding RNA, 4040 nt
Organism: Rhododendron vialii
Lineage: Eukaryota; Viridiplantae; Streptophyta; Magnoliopsida; Ericales; Ericaceae
Exons: 5
Source: RefSeq, a predicted model, not a curated record
GGGUCAAAAGCAAUACUGAAAUCUAAAAAUACAUGAGGUCGGAUCGACCAUUAGUCAAGUGUGCGGCAACAAGUUACCUUUAUAAUUCAGGUUGAACUCAGGACAACUUUCAAACCUAGGAUGUUAAUUCAGAUGUUUUUGCAAUUUAUCAACUGAGAUAAUGUGUUUUGAAAAAAGUGUUUUGGCAGCAAUUCUUUAGUAGCUGUGUGUGUUAUUAUUUGAGCAAGGAUUUGAAAAAUGUGGAUAGGCAUUCAGCACAGUAGUAAUUUUAGCUUCUAGAACUAGAAGUGCGUGCUGCAACAUCUAGAAGCGGUGGAUCAUAUUUUUAGUUCCUUUCUCUGAUUUUCUGAUCGAGAUUUGUGGGCGGAGGCGGUUAUGAAGUGAUUUAUCUAGAAAUAAAUUUCGCAAAUUUUUCCUGGAAAUCUAAUGCUUUUAUGAAAAGUUUGGUUGGCAAGAUGUUCUGAAGGAAUCGAUGUAGGGACUCUUUGGUUGUGGAACCAAUUAGCAUAGUGCUGUGUGGAACCAAUUAGCAAAGUGCUGUUUGCUCCCUUCCCCUAACCACAAGAGGAUGCGUAUGUGGUGGUGGUAUAUGGAAUGAAUGUCUUCUUUCCCUUUUCAUCUGACAGACUUAGUUUGUUUCAGGUUGAUUAUAAACGGAAAUUAGAUCGCCAAAGAGUAGGCUUGUGAGUGGUGUGAGUUGAAUGAUUACUUUGAGGUGCAUGAAAGGGAUGUGUGAUUUUGGUUUUGUCCCAGUGUAUGUCCUUUAGAGAAAGACUAUUGCAUGUUUUGAAUGGCAACGUUAGAGGAAAAGACUUUACAAAGCCCAGUCAGUACAGAAGAAAAUGGAGUAACUACUAUAAAUAUAGUUGUUGUAUCAUAAGGCCAUGGUGUAGUACCCGUGGUGUGUUUUUCUUGAUAAUUCGGCUCUGCUUCACCUCUUAGAAUUUGGUAGGUUUGUAAUAUUCCUACCCAGACUAAUAACCAUGGGCUUUCAUGCAAGCCUAUUUUUUGAUUGAUGUGCUUGAUUUCAGAUCAUAAAUACAGAGUGGGGAGCAUUUUCAGAUCACUAUAUUGGCAGAAAAUUCUACAUAGAGGAAACAUGGCCAAUUAUAGUCCAUAACAAAAAAUUCAUACAAAAUGAUGAGAAUUUUCAAUAUAAUUUUCUGAAACUAUGAACCGCAGUAACAAACUUUUCAAUUUCCAACUGAACGUAAUAGGCCCCAUCAUUGGGCAUGAAAUAUCUGUAUCACUAUAUAUGAAUCAUUUUCUAUAGAAUUAUCAAUUUUGUUUUAUUAUGUAUCUUUUGCAUUUGAGUGGUAAGAGCAUAUGACCUUGCAUGGUAAACAAAGCUCUUCAAUUAAUCAUCAACUAUCAAACUUAAUCUUCUUCUUACUAUCCUUGGAAUAUUAUGAGCCCAUGUAGGUUACACACAAUUUUCAGAAUAUACUGUACUUUUACUCCCUUACAAGUGUUGAUCAUUUUCUAGAAAAUUGUUGUAGCAAAUACAUAUUGGCCACAAGCUAUACAAGUGGAGGCAGGGGUUAAUCUCUUUUUCUUCAAAAGAUCUACGAACCAUUUUUCUGAUAUUCUACUAUGACUCUAUGAGCAUAAUUCAAAUACCACUGGUAUCAGUAAGUUCCCAGAAGUUAGUUUAAAGGUUUAAGUUGGUGUGCUGUCGAAUUUGCUUCUUAGGUUCUAAAUUGUUUUAAACUAAGUUUCAAAAUUUGAAAAGUUGUUGAGUUGCAAAUUAUACAGAACCAUCUCAGAGAAAUGAUGUUUGUGGAGGUGCCGGAGCCUGGCAGCUCCAUGGCUCAAGGCAAUACCGGGCAAGAUUAUUUGUUAUGGUUUCUAGGAAAUGAUGUUCUCGACUUUGAUCAGUUUUCGAGUAACCUGACGAAUGAAGAGCAGCAACAGUUGCUGAAGUAUCUCCCUUCUGUGGAUACUGCCAGACUUCCUGAUAGGUAGAGAGUCCUCAACGUUUAAUUUUGACUCGAGUACUGUCAAUUGGAUAUUACGUUCUUUUUAUUUUACCCAUCAAAAGGACAAAAAGAUUGUUCAAGUUUAGAUCAACUCUGGAGCAACUAAUACUCCUUCUGUGUUGUAUAGUCUUUUUUGGCAGUCAUGCCUUUUGAUCAGGUUAACAAAUAAUGUACUUCUGUGAAAAAAAAAACCCACUGAGCUAGCAGCAUGUUGUGUGAACCUCCCAUUGGCUGUGCCAAAAGCAAGAGGUGCCCUGAUAAUUGCGUCAUGCCUGGGAAUACUUGGACUAGAGGGAAAGAAUGAUUUUAUAUCAUCUAAAAUACAAUAAAGUAGGAAAGAUAAUUUUUUAAGAUGUGCAGAAUAUUGGAAAACCAAGAUACGGGACGGAGCCUUAAAAGCAUGUUUGCAAGCCCUCAAUUCAAAGAGAACAUAUCCUCCUUCUAGAAGCUGCAUGUGGAAGGGGUUUUUGAUCUUUCUUUGUCAGAGGUGAAGCCUGAAGACUGUAGGACAUAAGAGGCUUACAUUGGGCAAUUUGAGAAAGUCGAAGUGGUUGGAAAAAAAUAUAAUCUGCUCAAGGACCAAAAGUGUAGUAGUAUUAAUGAAGGGUCGGUAGUUCAAGGUGGGCCUAAUGCAAUUGCAAAUGGUAAUUCAACCAAUGUAAAGAGAUUGUGUGAUGGUCAACUUCAAAAUUUUCCAGGUUAGCUCGUAUGUGUCUUUAGUAGUCAAUCAUUGGAUGCUCUAUAUGUUGUUUUGACAAUUCUGAUGAAAAGCCCAAGGGUUGAACUGCAAAAAGGACAAAAUAAGAUUUAGCUUCUGUCAUUUAAAUAAGCAAGCAGGACCUAAAGAACAAAAGAAUCUUACACUAGCUUUGGGGUUUCUGUACUUAAUUCCAGCUGCAUAGAAACUUUCCCUAAAAAUUUCCAGAUAAUGAGGUUUACUGGAAAGAUUCAAAGUUGGUGUGUGUGAGUCAGACUCAACACAAAAUUUAAAUUCUUGGGUAGACUAAUUAGAAGUGUUGGUUCUGACUUGUGAGCAAGUGUCUAAGUUUUAGGUUAUGUAAGGUGCAUGAGUUUGCUGAGUUAUCAACGUGAUAAGUUAAUGGCCUUAAAUAACGUGAAGAAAUGUUCUUUACAGAUAGGGUGUUACUCUCUUUAGUAGAUACACCUAACUUGUUUGCAUUCAGCACAUAUAUACCACACCCGAUGGUUUUCCAUGUUUUGAAAUUACUAUUCAUUGAUAUCUGGGAAUCCAUGUAUGAGAAGUUCGUAUGAGAUGUAAAACUAAUCUCUUUCCAGUUGGCUGCAAUUUUUGCUUCCAAAAAUGAGCAGAUACCUAUCUGACAAUUGUGUGCACUGCCGUGUUAUUAUCUAUCGGCUCAUCAUACUUGGAAUUUCUUUCAAAAUCAUUUUAACAAGGAGGCUAAAAUCUUUUUUAUUUCCUCACUCAUGGUCAUGCAUCAAGUGCUACAAAAAAUGUCAUACCUUGCCCCUCCUAUGCACAUGAUCUAAGUUUCGUUGAUCGAAAGCAUUCUCUUCUAUGUCUUUGUGAUCAUGCAGUUUGGUAAAGCACAGUCCUAUCGAGCUUUGGCUUUCAUCUUUGCUCUCCUUUUUAUUGCUCUUGCACCACGGGCUUUAUCCUGCAAAUCACAAGCACCACGUCUUAACAGACUAAGAUGAGGAAUCAUUUUAGCCUAUGGGUAGGAGAACAUGGUGGUGCAUCUAAAAGGAGAAAUAUACUUGUGCUUUAAUGAAGAAUAUUCAUUGCUCCUGGUGUUACCAAACUACUGCAGGACCCUUUUAGGUGAUCUUUCAUUCGUUGGAUUCUAUUGAGCAUCCCAAGGUCAAAAAUUGCUUGCUCUCGCACUCGUCUGUUUUAAAUAUGUCGUGCAAUAAAUAUGUACCACCAUUCGUCGUUUUUGGGUUACUCCUAUUUGAAAAAGUAUUUACUUGAUCUUCGUGAUUCAUUCCAAAAUUUAGGGAUCUUCUAUAUCAGGUGGUAUACAAAAUAAAGCCUAGCUUGGUUAUUGGAACCCUAAUUUCCAAAAAAUCCCCAAUUUCACA